RNAcentral lists this ribosomal RNA (477 nucleotides) under uncultured anaerobic ammonium-oxidizing bacterium. RNAcentral's name for it is "bacterial SSU rRNA". It matches the Rfam family "Bacterial small subunit ribosomal RNA", at positions 365 to 832 of the family's 1533-position model. The record is from RNAcentral.
UUCGCAAUGCCCGAAAGGGUGACGAAGCGACGCCGCGUGCGGGAAGAAGGCCUUCGGGUUGUAAACCGCUGUCGGGAGUUAGGAAGUGCAAGGAUGUUAAUAGCGUCUUUGCUUGACUAAGGCUCCGGAGGAAGCCACGGCUAACUCUGUGCCAGCAGCCGCGGUAAUACAGAGGCGGCAAGCGUUGUUCGGAAUUAUUGGGCGUAAAGAGCACGUAGGCGGCCGUGUAAGUCGGUUGUGAAAGCCUUCCGCUCAACGGGAGAACGGCAUCCGAUACUGCAUAGCUUGAGUGCGGGAGGGGAGAGUGGAACUUCUGGUGGAGCGGUGAAAUGCGUAGAUAUCAGAAGGAACGCCGGCGGCGAAAGCGGCUCUCUGGCCCGUAACUGACGCUGAGUGUGCGAAAGCUAGGGGAGCAAACGGGAUUAGAUACCCCGGUAGUCCUAACUGUAAACGAUGGGCACUAAGUAGAGGGGUUUU